RNAcentral lists this long non-coding RNA (762 nucleotides) under Lactuca sativa (garden lettuce). RNAcentral describes it as "long non-coding RNA (LSAT_LNC008107)". The record is from RNAcentral. Lineage: Eukaryota; Viridiplantae; Streptophyta; Magnoliopsida; Asterales; Asteraceae.
UUUUUCGAUGCCUACAAUACGUCGUGUUUUACACUAGUCAAAUUUAGUAUGGUCAUAAAUUUCACAAAUAGAUAAAAACGAUAUAUUUAUGUAGUAAUAUACUUUUCAUGAACAAUCUCAAGGGAUAUUAAUUAUGUGAUUAUUUAGUAAAUAUAAUUAGGUUAGAUAAAACUAAAGUCCGAUAGACAGUCGAAUGUGUUUACUUCCUGUUCCUUGUUUGGUUGUGGGCUUAGGGCAGAUUCACCCAUUCAACUGUCUGUUCGAUCUCGUUUAUAUGCAACUCGUAUGUAUUAGGUAAUCAUAGGAGGGUAGUAUCGUCGCAUCAGGUUCCAGAACAACCAAGUCUUCAGACAGUCUAACUUAUCAACAAAACUAGAUAACAUUACAGUAAGUACAGUAUUUGUACUUGUGCUUUUCAAUCUUGGAACAACAUAGAAAAGCAAUCGGUUUUAUAGAAAAUAUAGGAUUUUCUAUGGUAAACAUCAUUCUUUUAAGAUAAACAGUUUUCGAUAGAACUUUUUGAAAACAAUAACAUUUAUUACCGAAAACAAUGUUUCACAAUAGAGUUAGUGAAACUAGAAACUUAUCUAUAAAAGGUUUCAUACAUAUUAUUAAACUAGUAUAACAUAAAGGACCUUAAAUGGUUAAUUCUAUAAUUCUUUAUUUUAUACACCAGGGUCAUAUAUAAUUAAUAUCUGAUAGGCAGUGGAAUGUGUGACUUCCGCCUUACUUCCUGUUCCUUGUUUGGUUGUGGGCUUAGGG